UGCCAUGUAUAUGAGUGAGUAUGACAACUAGAACCAUAACCGGACCUUAAAAUCCUAAGUAUUGAAUCUUUGUAAGAAGUUACAAAGACAAAGACUCAUACGGACUUCGGCUACACUAUCAAUGCUUUGAGAAGCAAGAAGAAGCUUGGUUAGUGUUUUGGAUUCAAAUAUGACUUGAUGUCAUGUGUAUGAGUGAGUAUAAAGACUAUAACCGCUACGGAUCUUAAAAGCUUAAGUAUUGUAUCCUUGUUAGAAGAUACAAAGACAAAUACUCAUAUGCACUUCGGCUAAACCAUCAAAGCUUUGAGAAGCAAGAAGAAGCUUGGUUAGUGUUUUUGAGUGAAAUAUGAGUAGAUGUCAUGUGUAUGUGUGAGUAUAACAAUUAGAAGCGCAGUUGGAUUUUAAAAUCCUAAGUAUUGUAUCCUUGUUAGAG
This 433-nucleotide small RNA is filed under the name Arabidopsis thaliana (thale cress). RNAcentral describes it as "ATSL268500". Lineage: Eukaryota; Viridiplantae; Streptophyta; Magnoliopsida; Brassicales; Brassicaceae. The record is from RNAcentral.